GGACCCGCGUCUGAUUAGCUAGUUGGUAAGGUAACGGCUUACCAAGGCGACGAUCAGUAGCCGACCUGAGAGGGUGAUCGGCCACAUUGGAACUGAGACACGGUCCAAACUCCUACGGGAGGCAGCAGUGGGGAAUAUUGCACAAUGGGCGAAAGCCUGAUGCAGCAACGCCGCGUGAGUGAUGAAGGCCUUCGGGUCGUAAAACUCUGUCCUCAAGGAAGAUAAUGACGGUACUUGAGGAGGAAGCCCCGGCUAACUACGUGCCAGCAGCCGCGGUAAUACGUAGGGGGCUAGCGUUAUCCGGAUUUACUGGGCGUAAAGGGUGCGUAGGCGGUCUUUCAAGUCAGGAGUGAAAGGCUACGGCUCAACCGUAGUAAGCUCUUGAAACUGGGAGACUUGAGUGCAGGAGAGGAGAGUGGAAUUCCUAGUGUAGCGGUGAAAUGCGUAGAUAUUAGGAGGAACACCAGUUGCGAAGGCGGCUCUCUGGACUGUAACUGACGCUGAGGCACGAAAGCGUGGGGAGCAAACAGGAUUAGAUACCCUGGUAGUCCACGCUGUAAACGAUGAGUAC
Molecule: ribosomal RNA, 571 nt
Filed under: Clostridioides difficile
Lineage: Bacteria; Bacillati; Bacillota; Clostridia; Peptostreptococcales; Peptostreptococcaceae
Description: bacterial SSU rRNA
Rfam family: Bacterial small subunit ribosomal RNA
Source: RNAcentral